This 85-nucleotide transfer RNA is filed under the name Felis catus (domestic cat). It matches the Rfam family "tRNA". From Rfam's summary of the family: Transfer RNA (tRNA) molecules are approximately 80 nucleotides in length. The record is from Rfam by way of RNAcentral. Lineage: Eukaryota; Metazoa; Chordata; Mammalia; Carnivora; Felidae.
GCCUGGGUGGUUCAGUCGGUUGAGCGUCUGACUUCAGCUCAGGUCAUGAUCUCACAGUUUGUGAGUUCGAGACCCGCAUCAGGCU